RNAcentral lists this transfer RNA (74 nucleotides) under Apaloderma vittatum (bar-tailed trogon). It matches the Rfam family "tRNA". From Rfam's summary of the family: Transfer RNA (tRNA) molecules are approximately 80 nucleotides in length. Lineage: Eukaryota; Metazoa; Chordata; Aves; Trogoniformes; Trogonidae. The record is from Rfam by way of RNAcentral.
GGUCAGUUAGCUCACUCGGUUAGAGCGUGAUUCUGAUAAUACCUAGGUCACGGGUUCAAUUCCCCUUCUGUCCC